GCAGCUGAAGCUGAGAGGAAGAGGAGGAAGAGGAGGAAGAGGAGGAGUUGAUCUGUUCCUGAUCUCUAAAGAGACUCAAACUUCCUCCUUCAGUUCAGUUCAACUCUCCAACAUUAACUCUGCUCAACAUGGACUAUUAUGGUCUGUCUCUGCUCAUCAUCUCUCUGCUAACAGGUGUCAGCUGUGAUCAACUUACUCCUCUUGAUAAGGAAGUCUUCAGAUUCGACGGCAGCUCUGCUAAUGUGUCCUAUAAGUCUUCAAAACAAGCCACAACUGAUUCUUUCUUCUGGUAUCGACAAUAUCCUGGAAAACCUCCAGAGUUCCUGAUCUCCCACACAGGAACAGGAACUAAACUCCAGGAUCCGGUUCCUGGUUUCUCCUUCAACAUGAAUGCUGAUAAAACCCAGAUGGAUCUGCUGAUCUCCUCUGCUGCAGUGACAGACUCUGCUGUGUACUACUGCGCUGUGCAGCCCACAGUGACAGGAAACACCAGAACCCUGUACAAAAACCUGCAGCCACCAGGGGGCGCCAUGCUCCAGUUGGCGGCGCUCUCCUUGUGCUCUGUGUUCCAGCAUUGUGUCAAUAAGAAGUGGUGCUGUGAAGAGAACAAUAGUCAGACUGAAUGUUGA
Xiphophorus hellerii (green swordtail) is the source of this 629-nucleotide non-coding RNA. Lineage: Eukaryota; Metazoa; Chordata; Actinopteri; Cyprinodontiformes; Poeciliidae. The record is from the annotation of a RefSeq genome assembly.